RNAcentral lists this ribosomal RNA (540 nucleotides) under uncultured archaeon. RNAcentral describes it as "bacterial SSU rRNA". It matches the Rfam family "Archaeal small subunit ribosomal RNA", at positions 457 to 997 of the family's 1478-position model. The record is from RNAcentral.
GUCAGCAGCCGCGGGAACACCGGCGGCCCGAGUGGUGAUCGUGAUUAUUGGGUCUAAAGGGUCCGUAGCCGGUUUGGUCAGUCCUCCGGGAAAUCUGAUAGCUCAACUAUAGGCUUCGGGGGAUACCGCCAGACUUGGAACCGGGAGAGGUAAGAGGUACUACAGGGGUAGGAGUGAAAUCUUGUAAUCCCUGUGGGACCACCUGUGGCGAAGGCGUCUUACCAGAACGGGUUCGACGGUGAGGGACGAAAGCUGGGGGCACGAACCGGAUUAGAUACCCGGGUAGUCCCAGCCGUAAACGAUGCUCGCUAGGUGUCAGGCAUGGCGCGACCGUGUCUGGUGCCGCAGGGAAGCCGUGAAGCGAGCCACCUGGGAAGUACGGCCGCAAGGCUGAAACUUAAAGGAAUUGGCGGGGGAGCACAACAACGGGUGGAAGCCUGCGGUUUAAUUGGACUCAACGCCGGACAACUCACCGGGGGCGACAGCAAUAUGUAGGCCAAGCUGAAGACUUUGCCUGAAUCGCUGAGGGGUGGUGCAUGG